This 301-nucleotide ribosomal RNA is filed under the name uncultured bacterium. RNAcentral's name for it is "partial 16S ribosomal RNA". It matches the Rfam family "Bacterial small subunit ribosomal RNA", at positions 509 to 808 of the family's 1533-position model. The record is from RNAcentral.
CAGUCGCCGCGGUAAUACGUAGGUCCCGAGCGUUGUCCGGAUUUAUUGGGCGUAAAGCGAGCGCAGGCGGUUAGAUAAGUCUGAAGUUAAAGGCUGUGGCUUAACCAUAGUACGCUUUGGAAACUGUUUAACUUGAGUGCAGAAGGGGAGAGUGGAAUUCCAUGUGUAGCGGUGAAAUGCGUAGAUAUAUGGAGGAACACCGGUGGCGAAAGCGGCUCUCUGGUCUGUAACUGACGCUGAGGCUCGAAAGCGUGGGGAGCAAACAGGAUUAGAUACCCCCGUAGUCCCUGUCUCUUAUACC